CAUCUCCUUAAUCGGAGAGUUCCCUUCGGGGACAUUGGUGACAGGUGGUGCAUGGUUGUCGUCAGCUCGUGUCGUGCGAUGUUGGGUUAAGUCCCGCAACGAGCGCAACCCUUGUCUUUAGGUGCCAUCAUUAAGUUGGGCACUCUAAAGAGACUGCCAGGGAUAAACUGGAGGAAGGUGGGGAUGACGUCAAAUCAUCAUGCC
RNAcentral lists this ribosomal RNA (204 nucleotides) under Clostridioides difficile. Its description in RNAcentral is "partial 16S ribosomal RNA". It matches the Rfam family "Bacterial small subunit ribosomal RNA", at positions 995 to 1199 of the family's 1533-position model. The record is from RNAcentral. Lineage: Bacteria; Bacillati; Bacillota; Clostridia; Peptostreptococcales; Peptostreptococcaceae.